UACGAAGGGAGCUAGCGUUGUUCGGAAUCACUGGGCGUAAAGCGCACGUAGGCGGAUGUGUCAGUCAGGGGUGAAAUCCCGGAGCUCAACUUCGGAGCUGCCUUUGAUACAGCACAUCUGGAGUCCGGAAGAGGUGGGUGGAAUUCCUAGUGUAGAGGUGAAAUUCGUAGAUAUUAGGAAGAACACCGGUGGCGAAGGCGGCCCACUGGUCCGGUACUGACGCUGAGGUGCGAAAGCGUGGGGAGCAAACAGG
Molecule: ribosomal RNA, 253 nt
Filed under: uncultured bacterium
Lineage: Bacteria
Description: partial 16S ribosomal RNA
Rfam family: Bacterial small subunit ribosomal RNA
Source: RNAcentral